GAGCAUAUGGCCGCAGCCAUAAUACUGCCGCGUGUGCUUCAGAGGCAUUGCAAGGUUCAAUCUACAUCCAAGUGUGAUUUACAGAAACAAGGGCACAUCUCUACCCAAAUACCCAGGCUACUGCUGACAGAGACGCCUCUUACGAGAUGAAACAAGGGCUUCACCCUUUUUUUCCUCUCCUUUGUUCAUGAACAGCAUCACAAAGGAAGCUGCUGUAAAAUCCAGCUACCAGUGACCACAGGCAGAGAUGUGCUUCAUGGCUUUUGGUGUGAGGGUCCUGAAAUGACAGCCUUGGUUCCUAGCCAGGGUUUUGGAGCAAGCAAAUGAAUUCCAGGAGUAUAAGGCAUUAGGCAGGACAUUGGAAUUACGUGGUGACAGCAAGUCAAAGUGCCAGGAAUGAAUCGUGCGUCUUAGCAACUCUGCCUCAACAAGGAAUCCAAAGGCAAAGUAUGUCCUUCUCAUCCCAUCAGUAGCCAGAUGCCUGCAGAGUACUUCUUGCUUUCCCCAGCCAAUUUAAAACAAUAAAUAGUGCUAUUGAUAAUUUUGAGAAGUUGCCAAAAAUCUUGGAGGCUUAGCACCUGAAGAAUUGUAUUAGACACCACUAUCUGCAUUUUCAGUAGUUCUCCUUAGAAAGUCUUAAGUUUUCAUCUUCUACUGAACUGGCACAGCUUCACUUAGUUUUCCCGCUAUUACAAGUUGCU
This is a long non-coding RNA of Lonchura striata (white-rumped munia), 701 nucleotides long. RefSeq lists it as uncharacterized. NCBI's taxonomy places the organism in Eukaryota, Metazoa, Chordata, Aves, Passeriformes, Estrildidae. The record is from RefSeq and is a predicted model, not a curated record.